GACGAACGCUGGCGGCGUGCUUAACACAUGCAAGUCGAACGGGCUCUGUCUGGCUGUGUGCUGGGUGGGGUUAGUGGCGAACGGGUGAGUAAUACGUGAGUAACCUGCCCUCUUCUUUGGGAUAAGCCUUGGAAACGGGGUCUAAUACUGGAUAUUCCUGUCUGGCCGCAUGGCUGGGUGGGGAAAGUUUUUUUCGGUGGGGGAUGGGCUCGCGGCCUAUCAGCUUGUUGGUGGGGUGAUGGCCUACCAAGGCGUCGACGGGUAGCCGGCCUGGGAGGGUGACCGGCCACACUGGGACUGAGAUACGGCCCAGACUCCUACGGGAGGCAGCAGUGGGGGAUAUUGCACAAUGGGCGCAAGCCUGAUGCAGCGACGCCGCGUGGGGGAUGACGGCUUUCGGGUUGUAAACCUCUUUCGUCGGGGGACAAGGCUCUGCUUGGUGGUGGGGUUGAGGGUACCCGGUGAAGAAGCGCCGGCUAACUACGUG
RNAcentral lists this ribosomal RNA (487 nucleotides) under uncultured bacterium. Its description in RNAcentral is "partial 16S ribosomal RNA". It matches the Rfam family "Bacterial small subunit ribosomal RNA", at positions 28 to 507 of the family's 1533-position model. The record is from RNAcentral.